Molecule: unclassified non-coding RNA, 387 nt
Filed under: soil metagenome
Description: partial contains 5.8S ribosomal RNA, internal transcribed spacer 2, and large subunit ribosomal RNA
Rfam family: 5.8S ribosomal RNA (bases 1-120)
Source: RNAcentral
GAUGAAGAACGUAGCGAAAUGCGAUAAGUAAUGUGAAUUGCAGAAUUCAGUGAAUCAUCGAAUCUUUGAACGCACCUUGCACCCUUUGGCAUUCCGAAGGGUAUGCUCGUUUGAGUGUCAUUGUACUCUCACACUCUCCGAUCCUAUGGAUUCGGGGAGCGGUGGACUUGGGUGUUGCUGCCUUUCCUUGUGGCUCACCUCAAAUGUGUCAGUGCACCUCUUGGUUGGACAUAGUACGGCGUGAUAAGUGUCUUCGCCGGCACCUCGCAAGAGGGUGGCCGAUCGGGAGCUCUGUGCUUUCAAACCGUCUUCGGACAAUUUCUAACAACUUGACCUCAAAUCGAGUAGGACUACCCGCUGAACUUAAGCAUAUCAAUAAGCGGAGGA